GAUGAACGCUGGCGGCGUGCCUAAUACAUGCAAGUCGAACGCUGGAGAUCUAGCUUGCUAGAUCGAAGGAGUGGCGAACGGGUGAGUAAUACAUAAGCAACCUACCCACGAAGACUGGGAUAAUCUCUGGAAACGGGGACUAAUACCGGAUAGGUAAUCGGAAGGCAUCUUCUGGUUAUUAAAGGUUAAAAACACUGGUGGAUGGGCUUAUGGCGCAUUAGUUAGUUGGUGGGGUAACGGCCCACCAAGACGAUGAUGCGUAGCCGGCCUGAGAGGGUGAACGGCCACAUUGGGACUGAGACACGGCCCAGACUCCUACGGGAGGCAGCAGUAGGGAAUUUUCGGCAAUGGGGGCAACCCUGACCGAGCAACGCCGCGUGAGUGAAGACGGCCUUCGGGUUGUAAAGCUCUGUUGUAAGGGAAGAACGGUAGAUAGAGAAUAUCUAAGUGACGGUACCUUACCAGAAAGCCACGGCUAACUACGUG
RNAcentral lists this ribosomal RNA (486 nucleotides) under uncultured bacterium. Its description in RNAcentral is "partial 16S ribosomal RNA". It matches the Rfam family "Bacterial small subunit ribosomal RNA", at positions 28 to 507 of the family's 1533-position model. The record is from RNAcentral.